CCCCCCCCCCAAUUUCUCCUCAGUGUUGAAAGAAUUGCAAAACUGAUUCUGAAGAAAAAUGUGGUUCACCGGGGGGGGGCUCAUAUUAUUACGAUUCUUGGGCAUCUCAGUUGAUUGAAGAAUAAUGUUGAAGGAUUUUGUAGAUGGAAAUUUCCAGUGUAAAUUUUAUACAUUUAUGAUGAACUAUCCAGGUGGACUCUGUAGUUCAGUUGGU
This is a non-coding RNA of Paramuricea clavata, 214 nucleotides long. Lineage: Eukaryota; Metazoa; Cnidaria; Anthozoa; Malacalcyonacea; Plexauridae. The record is from the annotation of a GenBank genome assembly.